This 1010-nucleotide ribosomal RNA is filed under the name Chrysotoxum baphyrum. RNAcentral's name for it is "eukaryotic LSU rRNA". It matches the Rfam family "Eukaryotic large subunit ribosomal RNA", at positions 120 to 938 of the family's 3401-position model. The record is from RNAcentral. Lineage: Eukaryota; Metazoa; Arthropoda; Insecta; Diptera; Syrphidae.
UUUGUCUUUAUGGCAAAUAUGGGAUGCAGUGUAUGGAACAUCUAUAAUCUAGUAUGAGAAAUUAACGAUUUAAGUCCUUCUUAAAUGAGGCCAUUUACCCAUAGAGGGUGCCAGGCCCGUAUAACGUUAAUGAUUACUAGAAGGUGUUUCCAAAGAGUCGUGUUGCUUGAUAGUGCAGCACUAAGUGGGUGGUAAACUCCAUCUAAAACUAAAUAUAACCAUGAGACCGAUAGUAAACAAGUACCGUGAGGGAAAGUUGAAAAGAACUCUGAAUAGAGAGUUAAAUAGUACGUGAAACUGCUUAGAGGUUAAGCCCGAUGAACCUGAAUAUCCGUUAUGGAAAAUUCAUCACUAAUUUUAUAAUAUUAAUAAUAUUAUGAGAAAAGUGUGCAAUUUUUCCAUAUAAGGACAUUGUAAUCUGUUAAUGUAAUAAAUAUUUAUCAAAAGAUCCAUUACUAAAGUUUAUUUGAAUUAGUUAUUUUCGGAUUUCUAACAUAAAAUAAUUGUUUUGGAUUUGAUAAAUCAUUGACAGAUAUAAUUAUAUAAUAUGCUUAAAUUUUUUGGAAUUUUAUAAUAAUAUUUUAAUCUAUUGAUUAAUUUAUUUUAUUAUAUGCAUUAUUAUGAUUAACAAUGCGAUAGAUUCAGGAUACCUUCGGGACCCGUCUUGAAACACGGACCAAGGAGUCUAACAUAUGUGCAAGUCAUUGGGUAUUUUUAAUAAAACCCAAUGGCAUAAUUAACUUAACUGAUAAUUAAUAAUGGGAUUAAUUUAUAAUUUUUUAUGAAUUAUUUAUUCAAUCCCGGGGCGUUCUAUAUAGUUAUGCAUAAUGAUAUUUAUAUUAUUUAUGCCUCUAACUAGAGCGUACCUUGAGCAAAUAUGCUGUGACCCGAAAGAUGGUGAACUAUACUUGAUCAGGUUGAAGUCAGGGGAAACCCUGAUGGAAGACCGAAACAGUUCUGACGUGCAAAUCGAUUGUCAGAAUUGAGUAUAGGGGCGAAAGACUAAUCGA